UUUAAAUGAAACUUUCAUAGCAACACUUUCUUCCAAUGGAUGUUCAUUGGUAGAACACAUACGUUUUCUUUCCUCUUCAAGCAAACGAUUUUUGACAAAGUCCAUUUCAAGACUAUCCGGGUUCAAUCUUUCAAUUGCUGUUAUCACGUUGUUGUAAGAUUCCGGCAAAGUAAGAAGUAGCAAACAAAUGGUAUCCAACUUUUCCAACGUAGCUCCCGACGAUAUCAGUUGUCGAACAAGUUCUGUGAAAUCUUUCUGUAUCAGUUUCAACAGAUCGUGUUCGUUCAAACCCGUUUCCAAUCUAAACUUCCAACUAUCGUAAUUCCGACCCUCGAACAAAUGCAGUGCGAAUAUCUCUUCCGCCAUAUCUGGGCCCAUAACCAGAUAACUUUCAACAAAUUAAAAUGUUUAGGGUAAUACAAGAAAAUGUUUUGUUGAAGAAAAAGUUUUGUACGAUUGACAAGAAAAAAUUAUGCUUAUAAUAUACAUUCAAGAACAAAGAACAAAAUUAAAAAGAAAGAACAAAAUUAAAUUAAAAUGUAAAAACAAACUAACCGUCGAUAUUUCCCCAGGCAAGUGUUCAACAACAACUGCUGACUCGUCUCCUGAUUCCCAACCAACCGCUUCUAUAAACCUUCAGUUUCAACUUGUUGAAUCCGUAGGAUACACUCCUUCCGACGUGUUGAGGUCUGCGAGACAGCCGGAGUUUAGUACGAGUACUGCAUGUCUCCGCUCAUCAUCAGCCCUAUCAAGGCUGUUAUAUAAGACUAUCAAGGAGUGUGUUCACCGUUGUGGAAAAAUGGGUUGGGUUGGUGUCAUUCGUAGCAACAAGGCCAAGUGAAAACAUGUUGUCCACCAACGAAGGAUCAACCAGUGAAUUUAAGUCCCCAUUGAUAAUGACAUCACAACGUAACAUUCCCUAAUAUCUCGCUAAGAUGGGAUUUCAAUUUAAUAAAUAUAUGUUCUAUCUGGACACCAAUAAAGGACCUUAUAUGAAACUUUGCA
Molecule: long non-coding RNA, 1005 nt
Organism: Stomoxys calcitrans (stable fly)
Lineage: Eukaryota; Metazoa; Arthropoda; Insecta; Diptera; Muscidae
Exons: 2
Source: RefSeq, a predicted model, not a curated record